RNAcentral lists this ribosomal RNA (253 nucleotides) under uncultured bacterium. Its description in RNAcentral is "partial 16S ribosomal RNA". It matches the Rfam family "Bacterial small subunit ribosomal RNA", at positions 524 to 776 of the family's 1533-position model. The record is from RNAcentral.
UACGUAGGGGGCAAGCGUUGUCCGGAAUCAUUGGGCGUAAAGAGCGUGUAGGCGGCCCGAUAAGUCCGCUGUGAAAGUCCAGGGCUCAACCCUGGAAUGCCGGUGGAUACUGUCGGGCUCGAAUCCGGAAGAGGUGAGUGGAAUUCCUGGUGUAGCGGUGAAAUGCGCAGAUAUCAGGAAGAACACCCGUGGCUAAGGCGGUUCUCUAGUACGGUACCGACGCUGAGACGCGAAAGCGUGGGGAGCGAACAGG